This 85-nucleotide transfer RNA is filed under the name Echinostoma caproni. It matches the Rfam family "tRNA". From Rfam's summary of the family: Transfer RNA (tRNA) molecules are approximately 80 nucleotides in length. Their secondary structure includes four short double-helical elements and three loops (D, anti-codon, and T loops). The record is from Rfam by way of RNAcentral. Lineage: Eukaryota; Metazoa; Platyhelminthes; Trematoda; Plagiorchiida; Echinostomatidae.
GGCCUCAUAGUUCAGCUGGUAGAGCAUGCGCCGUGCCAAAAGCGUAGGCAGUGUCCAUGCAUGGGUUCGAAUCCCACCGAGGCUA